Molecule: ribosomal RNA, 504 nt
Filed under: uncultured bacterium
Lineage: Bacteria
Description: bacterial SSU rRNA
Rfam family: Bacterial small subunit ribosomal RNA
Source: RNAcentral
AGAGUUUGAUCCUGGCUCAGAUUGAACGCUGGCGGCAUGCCUUACACAUGCAAGUCGAACGGCAGCACGGGGGCAACCUUGGUGGCGAGUGGCGAACGGGUGAGUAAAGCAUCGGAACGUGCCCUGGAGUGGGGGAUAACGUAGCGAAAGUUACGCUAAUACCGCAUAUUCUGUGAGCAGGAAAGCAGGGGAUCGCAAGACCUUGCGCUCUGGGAGCGGCCGAUGUCGGAUUAGCUAGUUGGUGGGGUAAAGGCCUACCAAGGCGACGAUCCGUAGCGGGUCUGAGAGGAUGAUCCGCCACACUGGGACUGAGACACGGCCCAGACUCCUACGGGAGGCAGCAGUGGGGAAUUUUGGACAAUGGGCGAAAGCCUGAUCCAGCCAUGCCGCGUGAGUGAAGAAGGCCUUCGGGUUGUAAAGCUCUUUCGGUGGGGAAGAAAUUGCAUAGGCUAAUACCCUGUGUAGAUGACGGUACCUGGAGAAGAAGCACCGGCUAACUACGUG